GAUGAACGCUGGCGGCGUGCCUAAUACAUGCAAGUCGAGCGAACAGAUGAGGAGCUUGCUCCUCUGACGUUAGCGGCGGACGGGUGAGUAACACGUGGAUAACCUACCUAUAAGACUGGGAUAACUCCGGGAAACCGGAGCUAACACCGGAUAAUAUAUUGAACCGCAUGGUUCAAUAGUGAAAGACGGUUUUGCUGUCACUUAUAGAUGGAUCCGCGCCGCAUUAGCUAGUUGGUAAGGUAACGGCUUACCAAGGCAACGAUGCGUAGCCGACCUGAGAGGGUGAUCGGCCACACUGGAACUUAGUCACGGUCCAGACUCCUAAGGGAGGCAGCAGUAGGGAAUCUUCCGCAAUGGGCGAAAGCCUGACGGAGCAACGCCGCGUGAGUGAUGAAGGUCUUCGGAUCGUAAAACUCUGUUAAUAGGGAAGAACAAAUGUGUAAGUAACUAUGCACAUCUUGACGGUACCUAAUCAGAAAGCCACGGCUAACUACGUG
RNAcentral lists this ribosomal RNA (497 nucleotides) under uncultured bacterium. RNAcentral's name for it is "partial 16S ribosomal RNA". It matches the Rfam family "Bacterial small subunit ribosomal RNA", at positions 28 to 507 of the family's 1533-position model. The record is from RNAcentral.